CUCUUUCCUCUUGUCCCUUUAUAUACCCUUUCCUUCAUAACUUCUUUUAUAUACUCUUUCCUCUUCUCUUCUCCCCCUUUUUGUCAUCAUCAAAAACAUAGAUAUGGAAAAAGAUGCAAUAACAAACAAACUUCAAACUUCAUUGAUCAAAAUAGGAACAUUUUCAUAUAUUAAUGCUCAAAACGAUGAAAAGUACAAUGUUCCACAAUCAAGAUUUAAAGGUAUAAGGGAAAGACAAGAUACAUAAGGGAAAAAGCAAGAUACAUAUAAGAAAAGGCAAGAUACAUACGAGAACUAGAUUUCUAGCCUAGGCUCUAAACAUAAAUGCUAAAAUCAGCCUAGGAAGAAUCUAAUGGCUGGGAUCUAGUCCUCAUCCGCCUAGCAUAGGUGGCGAGGGGAGGUCGAGCCUGGUGAGACUGGGUCUGGCGUGGAGCACGUCGAGCUGGAUGACUCUGUGCCAAUAUCUCUGACUCAGCAGCCUGUGGCACAGAAGGUCCAUGUGUCUCUC
This 508-nucleotide long non-coding RNA is filed under the name Phoenix dactylifera (date palm). Its description in RNAcentral is "long non-coding RNA (PDAC_LNC022950)". Lineage: Eukaryota; Viridiplantae; Streptophyta; Magnoliopsida; Arecales; Arecaceae. The record is from RNAcentral.